RNAcentral lists this ribosomal RNA (433 nucleotides) under uncultured bacterium. RNAcentral describes it as "bacterial SSU rRNA". It matches the Rfam family "Bacterial small subunit ribosomal RNA", at positions 313 to 736 of the family's 1533-position model. The record is from RNAcentral.
CUGGGACUGAGACACGGCCCAGACACCUACGGGUGGCAGCAGUCGAGAAUCUUUCACAAUGGGGGAAACCCCUGAUGGAGCGACGCCGCGUGGAGGAUAAGGUCUUCGGAUUGUAAACUCCUGUCAUGCGAGAGCAAGAUUGGUCAUUUUAAUAGGUGAUUAAUUUGAUAGUAUCGCAAGAGGAAGAGACGGCUAACUCUGUGCCAGCAGCCGCGGUAAUACAGAGGUCUCAAGCGUUGUUCGGAAUCACUGGGCGUAAAGGGUGCGUAGGUGGCGUGGUAAGUCAGAUGUGAAAGCCCAGGGCUCAACCCUGGAAUUGCAUCCGAUACUGCCGUGCUAGAGAACUGAAGGGGAGUCUGGAAUUCUCGGUGUAGCAGUGAAAUGCGUAGAUAUCGAGAGGAACACCAAAUGGCGAAGGCAAGACUCUGGGCAG